Molecule: long non-coding RNA, 494 nt
Organism: Dreissena polymorpha
Lineage: Eukaryota; Metazoa; Mollusca; Bivalvia; Myida; Dreissenidae
Exons: 3
Source: RefSeq, a predicted model, not a curated record
AACAAAAAACACUGGAUUUGUCGGUCAGCAACAUAUCCAUACCAGGCAACUUGCAGCUGUGCACAACUUGUUGCAAUGAACACAUGACAAACGGAAGCUCGUUCGCCUUUGCCCAUUAUGGUUCAAGUUGUUACGAGAUACUAUUAACCAAUCUUCAUUGGCAACAAGCCCAGGACAAGUGUACACAACUUGGAGGAAAAGUGCUGAACAUUACCAGUUCAGAAGAGCAUAUUUACAUUAAACAGUUGCUGCAACAUUAUGGAUUAAAGCAAGAAAUAUGGCUCCUGGGAUACGAUUAUCCUCCACACCUGGUUAAUGCUACUUGUGCGGUGUUGGAGCCACAGCUUGAUGGUCGUUGGAUUGUGUCACAAUGUGGCCUUAUUGCUGAUGUCACACGCGGUGUAAUAUGUGAAUACGAGCUAACACAUUCUGCGUCGUCUUUACCGCUCAUCGGAUAAACAUCAAGCAGUAAUUUGAAUUUUUUAUGGAUUGUA